Molecule: antisense RNA, 69 nt
Filed under: Lentzea jiangxiensis
Lineage: Bacteria; Bacillati; Actinomycetota; Actinomycetes; Pseudonocardiales; Pseudonocardiaceae
Description: ASpks TB sRNA
Rfam family: ASpks TB sRNA
Source: RNAcentral
CUUCACCGACCCGAGCCACAGCGGUUCCCGCCGGUCCUGGCCGUAGGUGUUGAGCAGCGCCUGCGCCUC